This 390-nucleotide long non-coding RNA is filed under the name Chelonoidis abingdonii (Abingdon island giant tortoise). RNAcentral describes it as "lncRNA (ENSCABG00000013095.1)". Lineage: Eukaryota; Metazoa; Chordata; Testudines; Testudinidae. The record is from RNAcentral.
AAUGGUAGUGGGGAAUACAGAAGAUUUUGCAGCAUGUUAGGGUUCCUAUCUUCAUACCUGAUCAGUAGGAGACUGGGAGCCGGAGAAGCAACUGGAAAACCACAGAUGCUCCUGUUCACUGUAAGUAAAGCAGAUGAUGAACCAAUAAAAGGCACCCAACGCAAACAGCAAUUCAGCAGAACAGGGAAACAAAGACAACUGAGGAACUGUCUCUGUCCAUAAUAAAGGGAAGAAUCAAGGAGAAAGCAAGUGGCCAGAUGCUUCUUGUAUUUGUUAAAAUAAUGUACGAAAAUUCACAUUUUCUGCUGUGGCUCUCCCUACAAACUCCAGGAUUGCAGAGCAAGAGAGUACUGUGAUUCCUGGCUUGAUGAGCACAAUAGCACCCAGGAG